RNAcentral lists this long non-coding RNA (2074 nucleotides) under Coffea arabica (coffee). Its description in RNAcentral is "long non-coding RNA (CARA_LNC008241)". Lineage: Eukaryota; Viridiplantae; Streptophyta; Magnoliopsida; Gentianales; Rubiaceae. The record is from RNAcentral.
CAGUAAAGUUGGCAAAGAUCAAGAACCACCAACAAAGAGGAAGGAAUCUUGGAGCUCGAUCACUUGCAAAAGCAAAACUAAGACCAUCAGCCAUGGGGAUUCCCAGGUAACCCCUUUUUUUUUUUGGACAAUAUAUGCCCAGGUAACUUCUACUCAUAGUGUUAGGAAAAUAAAAAUAAAGAUAUACUCAUAUUGCAACAGAUUCAGUGUACUUAUAUACAUAAAAAGGACUAAUUUCAUUUUGUUUCCAUGAAAUUUAUAUCGAUGGAUUGCACCACAAAUUUCAUUUUGGAAAAUUAAUCUAAACUUUUUAUAUCUUCCUCACUUUGUUCCGGUAGUUAGGUAGUUAGUGUAUUAAACCUUAUAACGAAAACUUAGCAUCACAUUGCACCCUUAAACUUCACACAAAUAAUCAUAUUGCACCUAAAAUUUCAAUUUUCAGGCACUUGAUUCCCCCAAAGAUGCCAUGUGUUUUACUUGCUCUGGUUUAGUUUUGCAGUGCCCAAACAAAUUACUUAAAUCAUACUAUCAUUGGCAUGUGAGAGUCAAAUAGUAGAAACUUUGCACUAGUUUGUUGUAUCACUAGUCAUAAAUUGUUAUCGCAUUGUUCCUUUGAUGAUACUAAGAUUGUAAAAUACUAUUUACUGACAAACUACCAACUAUGAAAUAAAAAGAACUGAACUAUCCUGAAACAUUAGAUUGAGAUUAGGAAUAAUAAAAAUCAAUAUUGAAAAUAAUUUAAAAAAAUUUGCUUACAUUCUGGAAGCUAAGUGGGUUGAAAUCAUUUUGUGCUAAAAUGUGUAGCAAGUAGCAAAUAGAAAGCUAAUACUCCAUCUUCACUGGAUAACUUAGGUGCAUUCUUUACAGCCCACACAAUUAACGUUCCUUUACAUAAAGAAAAUGACCAUGUAGAUUUAUUACUUCAAAAUCUUAUGAAAAUUUUUAAUAACAAUUACUAGUCAAAAGGGGAUAAUUUUGAACUACGUUUCUGAAACAAAUUAAAGGAAUUUCCUUCUAGUUGGCAGCUAUUUGUACGUGUAACUAUUAACUUUGCUUUUUGUCGAAUAUCAUGGCAAAGUUAAAUAACACACUCCCAUAUGCAUAAUUUGCACCAAUAUUGUAACAGCAUUAGUGACAAUUAAAGCAUUUUAGAGUUCAGCAUUGUCCCGCGCUGAAGUUUGGGGUAUAGUACAUGGAAAAAAUCAAAAGUUAGGGUGCGUAGUAGAACUAAUUGAAGAAAAUUCAUAGUGAAGAAUGUCCAAAAUUAAAACCUGUGGUGAAAUCUUAACAUAAGUUCAAGAGUGCAAUGUGAUCCUAAAUGAAACUAAUCUGAAUAUAAUAACUAAAUAACCCCUAUAAAAGAUGCUAAGUGCACUUCACCCCCCCCAUGUUUUUAACGCGCUACUAAUUUUUUCCAUACUGUCAGUUCUUAACAACACAAGAUCAACUAUAAGUGCCAAAAUAUUCCUAUUACGGAAAUGGUGUGGGGUAAGCAUUUAUGCAUAUGUUAGCCAUUUUUCGAGUAACUGUAUGUAGGGCAGUAACCAAGAAAUUUGAAAGCAAAAACAUAAAGAGCUGGAUUUUAGAGCAUGGCAGGGACAUGGGGUAAGGUUAUAAAAAUCACAGGGUAUAAUUUGCAGUUUGGAAAAAUGUGUAUGAAGAAUUGUGCAAAUUAACUUGAGUUUUAAUUGAUAUUUUGCAGGUCAUUCAAGGUUAUACAAGUUGCAAUACUUGGAAAGAAAUCAGAAUGGAGUUUGCAACUUUUACAAGCCAUUGCUGAAUGUGGAAAAGGGAGAAGCUGGCGGUCGUCUAAUGAUCGUCUAGUCUCGCAAUCUAGUGCCUCAAGCAAUUCUUUUAAUCUUCUUCACCAGUCUAGCAAGGACAAUCAUCUUAACUUGGACUUGUCUAUCUCAUCAUGUUACCACUGCUAGCUCCCAACACCAAUAUAUAACUAGUUCGUUCAAUAUUAUUAGAACAUAGUAAGAAAACUUGGACCGGUUGUACAAUUUUGUAUAAGAAUGUAGGAAGUUUGUAUGGAUUGUUUUAGAGAUAUGAAUAUAUUGUUGACAUGCAG